UUAUUUGAAGCAAGCGUUAGGGAAGAGAUGGAGAGACCACAAGAGCUCAUUAAAAAAGAAAUACUUCAAUAAUAAUCUCAACCUUGAAGAGAAGCUAUAGACUAUCCCACCUGGAAUGCUCAUGUAUCAAUGGGAAGAUAUAGUCAAAUUUUGGAGUUCACAAAAAGGACAGGACCGAGAGUAUGUUGGUGUUGCUAGUAGGCAACAAUAAAAGUUUACUCACACGGCUAGAUCGAAGAGCUUUGCUUGUAUAGCUAAUGACGAGGAAAAUACAUCUGGUUCUAAAGUUGGCCGAAUCAAAUU
Hibiscus syriacus is the source of this 303-nucleotide long non-coding RNA. RefSeq lists it as uncharacterized. The transcript is spliced from 3 exons. NCBI's taxonomy places the organism in Eukaryota, Viridiplantae, Streptophyta, Magnoliopsida, Malvales, Malvaceae. The record is from RefSeq and is a predicted model, not a curated record.